Long non-coding RNA from Perca fluviatilis (European perch), 281 nucleotides. RefSeq lists it as uncharacterized. The record is from RefSeq and is a predicted model, not a curated record. The transcript has 3 exons. NCBI's taxonomy places the organism in Eukaryota, Metazoa, Chordata, Actinopteri, Perciformes, Percidae.
CUUUCCACGUCGUCUUUAUUGACAGACGGAAUUAAAGCGAAACACCUAUAUCCUAUGGAUGAUCUGCUGGGUGUCACACAUAAUCUGGCAUCCGACUAGAAAGUAACCUAACUCCUGAGCUUUUUUUGUAAACGCCUCCGAUCCCCUCUGCCUGUCAGUGCGUCUGAGCUGUGUGCCACACGCUGAACCACACACAGGAACACAACACAAAGACCACAAAGACGACAAAGCCGGGCUAAAAAUACCUCGAUGUGUUGAAGAUGUAGGCCUAGCAGAAUUUA